RNAcentral lists this small nucleolar RNA (81 nucleotides) under Carlito syrichta (Philippine tarsier). RNAcentral describes it as "Small nucleolar RNA SNORD115 (ENSTSYG00000030591.1)". Lineage: Eukaryota; Metazoa; Chordata; Mammalia; Primates; Tarsiidae. The record is from RNAcentral.
GAGUCAAUGAUGAAAUCUUUGCCUUGUCUCUAGAGGACAGCUGUCUUAAAUGUCAUGCUCAAUAUAGUCACCCUGAGGACC